RNAcentral lists this transfer RNA (72 nucleotides) under Phrynosoma platyrhinos (Desert horned lizard). Its description in RNAcentral is "tRNA-OTHER". Lineage: Eukaryota; Metazoa; Chordata; Lepidosauria; Squamata; Phrynosomatidae. The record is from RNAcentral.
UACAGUGUGGCAUAGUGGUUUGAGUGUUGGACUGUGACUCUGGAGACCAGGGUUUGAAACCCAGCUCAGCCU